AUCCCUUUGCUCUCAAACUCCCCGAUGCAAUGCCUUCUGAUUUCAACAGAAAAGCAAGAGGCUCCAGGCACCCCAUUCAGGGACUGCCACCAAAGUACCCGCAAAUCCUUCAUGAAAGGGGAGACAUUGACACAUUCUUUUUUUAUUCUCUGGCAUGGAGAUGAACAUACUUGGUAUCAUCCACUCUCCUGCACUGCUGGCUCAGUCACCAGCCUUUUCAGGCACGGGGUCUGCAACCUCUCUCAUGGUUUGUGCCAUCUCUUGAGUCAGGAGCCACAGACCUCAUCCAGGACUUACAGCCUGACAGAUUAAGGAGUCCGAUAAAUCCACACAUUCUGAGUUGUUAUGCUGGGCAAAAGCCAUGCCCAUCCACAAGCCAGACUCUUGGCCUCCACUGGAAGCUUUGGAACUUUAUUCCCAUCAAACACUGACCUAAUCCUUGCACUGAGACUGCUAUUUACAUUAAAAUUGGUCACAUAAUGAAAAAAAAA
RNAcentral lists this long non-coding RNA (491 nucleotides) under Homo sapiens (human). Its description in RNAcentral is "long intergenic non-protein coding RNA 1533". Lineage: Eukaryota; Metazoa; Chordata; Mammalia; Primates; Hominidae. The record is from RNAcentral.